UCGCCGUUUAAAGUGGUACGCGAGCUGGGUUUAGAACGUCGUGAGACAGUUCGGUCCCUAUCUGCCGUGGGCGCUGGAGAAUUGAGGGGGGUUGCUCCUAGUACGAGAGGACCGGAGUGAACGCACCACUGGUGUUCGGGUUGUCAUGCCAAUGGCAUUGCCCGGUAGCUAAGUGCGGAAAAGAUAAGUGCUGAAAGCAUCUAAGCACGAAACUUGCCCCGAGAUGAGUUCUCCCUGACUCCCAGAGAGUCCUGAAGGGACGUUGAAGACGACGACGUUGAUAGGCCGGAUGUGUAAGUGCAGCGAUGCAUUGAGCUAACCGGUACUAAUGACCCGUGAGGCUUAACCUUACAACGCCAGAGGCGUUU
Molecule: ribosomal RNA, 368 nt
Filed under: Pantoea sp. Morm
Lineage: Bacteria; Pseudomonadati; Pseudomonadota; Gammaproteobacteria; Enterobacterales; Erwiniaceae
Description: partial 23S ribosomal RNA
Rfam family: Bacterial large subunit ribosomal RNA
Source: RNAcentral